Molecule: long non-coding RNA, 669 nt
Filed under: Sus scrofa (pig)
Lineage: Eukaryota; Metazoa; Chordata; Mammalia; Artiodactyla; Suidae
Description: lncRNA (ENSSSCG00035026037.1)
Source: RNAcentral
AGCUUGGACCAGGUUGCAGCAUUUAACGGACUUUUCUAGGUUUCCAGAGUAAUAGACUGAUGUCUACAGUGAGGGAUGCACAGCUCGUUCCUCUCACACCCUCGGGUGUCCGCCCCUCGCAAAGACUCGGGAUUGGAACCUACGAAGGCUUCCCAAAUGCUGACCCAGCCCUGCACCAAGCCGGCCCUGCACCAAGCCGGCUGCCAGAACCUCCCAGGAGCCGGUUUCGAUAGAGAGGCGUCGCUGUGCCGCAGAAGAACCAGCACAGUUUUGGGUGAGUCUGAAAGCCUUGAACUUCAUUUGUAGUAACCAGCUCUCUGGUGCACGCCGGCCACGCUGCUCUCAGACGCCCUCAGUCUGUCCCCUUGGGCUCCCUCCCUCCGGACAAACAAGUGAUGAGAUGAGAGCAGCACGUCUGAAGGUCCAGUGCAAGUCAGUGCCCGGGAGACAGUGUUUCGGAGACUGGCUGCACGACUGUCCUUCCCUCAGCCAGGACGGCCCCCAGGUUUGAAGGGCGUGUCCCCGUCCGUGACUGCUUACCGAGGGACCCUCUGUGACCGGCUUUCUGGGGGAGGUCAGAGGCAAAUGACCCCACCCAAGGCUGUCUACGAGGGAGACCAAGCUGCAUGUAGACAGUUCCAGGCUAAUAAAAACUGAUCAUAAAUUCCA